RNAcentral lists this long non-coding RNA (1738 nucleotides) under Phasianus colchicus (ring-necked pheasant). RNAcentral's name for it is "lncRNA (ENSPCLG00000010872.1)". The record is from RNAcentral. Lineage: Eukaryota; Metazoa; Chordata; Aves; Galliformes; Phasianidae.
ACAUCCGGGUGUGGGGUGGUGUGCGCAUGCGCGACAUCCGGGGAAUCCACGGGUGACAUCCGGGUACUGCGCGGACGCCGCAUGCGCAAACGUAAAGCACGAUCAGUACGCAUGCGCAACAUCCGGGAAUCAGAAAAGAACAUACGGGUAUUGAGGGCAGGGCGCAUGCGUAGUACCGGAUGCGAAUAAUACGCAUGCGUAACAUCCGGGGAUUCAGGGUUUCAUCCGGGUAUUAAGGGACGAGCGCAUGCGCAGCAGUGGAAAAAGAAUAGUACGCAUGCGCAACAUCCGGGUAAUGAAAGGGAAGAUUAGUGUAUUGAGGGUAAAGCGCAUGCGCAAAGGUCAAACGCGAAUAAUACGCAUGCGCAACAUCCGGGUAAUGCAAAGGAACAUCCGGGUGUUGAGGGCAUUGCGCAUGCGCGGUGGUUGAAAGGGAAUAGUGCGCAUGCGCGUUAUCCGGGUGCUAGAAAUAGACAUCCGGGUAUCUUAGUUGCGCAUGCGCGGUAUCACGGUUAACCACUGCGCAUGCGCAACAUCCGGGAACUCCGUGCCUCAACCAGGGACCGCCAACAUCACGUGUCCACCGCAACGGUCAACCGGGGCGCCAACAUCCGGGCACCGGGAUCACAAAAAGAAGGGGAAAGACGGGGGGUUGGAGGACUUCCGGAGGUGUUGGAGGACUCAGCGACACCCAUAGGAGGAGGCGGCAGCCGUUGGAGGACUCAACGACCCCCAUAGGAGGACUCAAAAGCCAUAGGAGGACCCAACAACUCCCAUAGAACAACUCAACACCCACAGGAGGACCCAACAACCCCCAUAGGAGGACUCAAAACCCGUUGGAGGACUCAACAACCCCCCGUAGGAGGACUCAAAACCCAUAGGAGGACUCAACGACCCCCGCUGGAGGACUCAACACCCAUAGAAGGAUCCAAUGACCCCCAUAGGAGGACUCAAAACCUGUUGGAGGACCCAAUGACCCCCGCUGGAGGACUCAACACCCAUAGGAGGAUCUAAUGACCCCCAUAGGAGGACUCAAAACCUGUUGGAGGACUCAACAACCCCCCGUAGGAGGACUCCAAACCCCUUGGAGGACCAACGACCCCCAUAGGAGAACUCAACACCCAUAGAAAGACUCCAAACCCCCUUGGAGGACCCACCGACGCCCAUAGGAGUACCCAACACCCACAGGACGACUCAAAACCCCUCGGAGGACCCAACAACCCCCAUAGAACAACUCAAAACCCACUGGAGGACCCAACAACCCCCAUAAGAGGACUCAACACCCAUAGGAGGACUCCAAACCCCCUUGGAGGACCCAACGACCCACAUAGGAGGACCCAACACCCACAGGACGACUCAAAACCCCUCGGAGGACCCAGCGACCCCCAUAGAACAACUCAACGCCCACAGGAGGACUCAAAACCCCUUGGAGGACCAACAACCCUCAUGGAACAACUCAACACCCACAGGACAACUCAACACUCAUAGGAGGACCCAACAACCCCCAUAGGAGGACUCCAAACCCCUUGGAGGACCCAACACCCAUAGGAGGACUCCAAACCCCCUUGGAGGAUCCAAGGACCUCCAUAGAACAACUCAACACCCACAGAAUGACUCAACACCCCCAGAAAGCCUCAAAGACCCCACAGGAGGACUCAACACCCAUAGGAGGACCCAACACCCAUAGAAAAACCCAACACCCAUAGGAGGACCCAACAACUCCCAUAGAACAACUCAA